AGGAGACAAGAAGGCAUCUUCUUGUUUUUAAAAGACCUAGCAAUAGGUAUGCUUAGGGAGGAGCUUGCGUCACAUUAGUUAGUUGGUGGGGUAAAGGCCUACCAAGACUAUGAUGUGUAGCCGGGCUGAGAGGUUGAACGGCCACAUUGGGACUGAGACACGGCCCAAACUCCUACGGGAGGCAGCAGUAGGGAAUUUUCGGCAAUGGAGGAAACUCUGACCGAGCAACGCCGCGUGAACGAUGAAGUAUUUCGGUACGUAAAGUUCUUUUAUUAGGGAAGAAUAAAUGAUGGAAAAAUCAUUCUGACGGUACCUAAUGAAUAAGCCCCGGCUAACUAUGUGCCAGCAGCCGCGGUAAUACAUAGGGGGCAAGCGUUAUCCGGAAUUAUUGGGCGUAAAGGGUGCGUAGGCGGUUAAAUAAGUUUAUGGUCUAAGUGCAAUGCUCAACAUUGUGAUGCUAUAAAAACUGUUUAGCUAGAGUAAGAUAGAGGCAAGUGGAAUUCCAUGUGUAGUGGUAAAAUGCGUAAAUAUAUGGAGGAACACCAGUAGCGAAGGCGGCUUGCUGGGUCUUUACUGACGCUGAGGCACGAAAGCGUGGGGAGCAAACAGGAUUAGAUACCCUGGUAGUCCACGCCGUAAACGAUGAGUACUAAACGUUGGGUAAAACCAGUGUUGAAGUUAACACAUUAAGUACUCCGCCUGAGUAGUACGUACGCAAGUAUGAAACUUAAAGGAAUUGACGGGACUCCGCACAAGCGGUGGAUCAUGUUGUUUAAUUCGAAGGUACCCGAAAAACCUCACCAGGUCUUGACAUGCUUCUGCAAAGCUGUAGAAACACAGUGGAGGUUAUCAGUUGCACAGGUGGUGCAUGGUUGUCGUCAGCUCGUGUCGUGAGAUGUUGGGUUAAGUCCCGCAACGAGCGCAACCCUUAUUGUUAGUUACCAGCACGUAAUGGUGGGGACUUUAGCAAGACUGCCAGUGAUAAAUUGGAGGAAGGUGGGGACGACGUCAAAUCAUCAUGCCCCUUAUGACCUGGGCUACAAACGUGAUACAAUGGCUGUUACAAAGGGUAGCUGAAGCGCAAGUUUUUGGCGAAUCUCAAAAAAACAGUCUCAGUUCGGAUUGAAGUCUGCAACUCGACUUCAUGAAGUUGGAAUCGCUAGUAAUCGCGAAUCAGCAUGUCGCGGUGAAUACGUUCUCGGGGUUUGUACACACCGCCCGUCA
Molecule: ribosomal RNA, 1224 nt
Filed under: Sesame phyllody phytoplasma
Lineage: Bacteria; Bacillati; Mycoplasmatota; Mollicutes; Acholeplasmatales; Acholeplasmataceae
Description: bacterial SSU rRNA
Rfam family: Bacterial small subunit ribosomal RNA
Source: RNAcentral